GAUGAACGCUAGCGGCAGGCUUAAUACAUGCAAGUCGAGGGGCAGCAGCUCUGUAGCAAUACAGAGGCUGGCGACCGGCAAACGGGUGCGGAACACGCACACAACCUUCCUUUAAGUGGGGAAUAGCCCAGGGAAACUUGGAUUAAUACCCCGUAACAUUAUGAGAUGGCAUCAUUUUAUAAUUAAAGCUACGGCGCUUAAUGAUGGGUGUGCGGCUGAUUAGGUAGUUGGCGGGGUAACGGCCCACCAAGCCUGCGAUCAGUAACUGGUGUGAGAGCACGACCAGUCACACGGGCAC
Molecule: ribosomal RNA, 298 nt
Filed under: uncultured bacterium
Lineage: Bacteria
Description: partial 16S ribosomal RNA
Rfam family: Bacterial small subunit ribosomal RNA
Source: RNAcentral